This 89-nucleotide microRNA precursor is filed under the name Anopheles gambiae (African malaria mosquito). RNAcentral's name for it is "microRNA aga-mir-10360 precursor". Lineage: Eukaryota; Metazoa; Arthropoda; Insecta; Diptera; Culicidae. The record is from miRBase by way of RNAcentral.
UAGUUGAGAAGACGCUGAGCCGCCCCGUCUUGUGCUUGGUGCUUUAGAUUUGGCCGUUUGGGGUGGACUUGGCUUAUCCUGCACUACGG